AACGCACAUUGCGCCCCUUGGUAUUCCAUGGGGCAUGCCUGUUCGAGCGUCAUCUAAACCCUCGAGCCCUAUGGGUGUUGUUCCGCCUUGUGCGCGACCUUCGCCUGGCUCGGUGUUGGGUGCCUGUCCCUGCUCUCCGCGCGGACUCACCCCAAAUGCAUUGGCAGCAGCCCCUCGGCUUCUCGCGCAGCACAUUGCGCAGCGGAGCGUGAGAGGCGUGCGUCCAGCAAGCAACCCCCCAAGUUUGACCUCGGAUCAGGUAGGGAUACCCGCUGAACUUAA
Molecule: unclassified non-coding RNA, 282 nt
Filed under: uncultured Pleosporales
Lineage: Eukaryota; Fungi; Ascomycota; Dothideomycetes; Pleosporales
Description: sequence contains 5.8S rRNA gene, ITS2, 28S rRNA gene
Source: RNAcentral